CAAAUCAAGAAACCCUGUGAUAACUUCUUGAUCAAAACAUUGUUCCAAAUUUACCUUAACGUCACUGAUAACUGUUUUGUACAUAAAUCUCGUUUUCUUUUCGACUUACCACGUUUUUUAUUUAUAAACGAAUGCAAUUUGGCAAUGGUGGAAGCAUUUGUGUAUUGAAGAUAGAAGAGCAUGUCGAUUUCUUGGUAUAGAGGGUCACUACGUUUUCAAGGUAAACCUGCAAGAAACUUCAGAGAAAUAUUUCGAUGGAAAAUAUUUUUACGGAAACUGGACCUUUAGAUCAGUAUUCACAAGCAAAGAUUGCAAUUUUUACUGUACUCUCGUUGAAGUUAUCACGAGACCUAAGCGUGAAACAUAAACAUUAAAAAUAUUUUGUCUUUGUUUUUAAUCUUUACAAGUAUUUUACUUCUCAUUCAUUCAUCGAUUUAUCCAUAUCUGUUAAAAUUCGAACGAAGUAAUUUUGGCGUAAUAUUUCGAUUAUUAACUAAUAAUAAUAAAAAACGGCCUUCUUCACGACCAAAUAAAUAUAUAAACAAAACACUGAA
This is a long non-coding RNA of Bombyx mori (domestic silkworm), 554 nucleotides long. RefSeq lists it as uncharacterized. The record is from RefSeq and is a predicted model, not a curated record. NCBI's taxonomy places the organism in Eukaryota, Metazoa, Arthropoda, Insecta, Lepidoptera, Bombycidae. The transcript is spliced from 3 exons.